RNAcentral lists this ribosomal RNA (1386 nucleotides) under bacterium ND14. RNAcentral's name for it is "partial 16S ribosomal RNA". The stretch from base 773 to 1386 matches the Rfam family "Bacterial small subunit ribosomal RNA", at positions 1 to 873 of the family's 1533-position model. The record is from RNAcentral.
GUACAGCCAAUCACACCCACCAGGUCAGCUUAUAGCCCUGAUGGGAGGAGAUCUUCUACACCCUAUAAGAAGGUCCUAAGGAAUUUCUAUGACACGGCUAAGGGUUCUUAAUGAUGGCCUUGGAAUUAAAACCACUUGGCGCCUCCGCUGAGUACGGUUCCAGAUCAAUUUCCAUUUGAGAUUUCAAUCCUUCAGGCUGGUGCUCGCCAGGGCGGAGUGUUUUGUUGAGCUAGCUGCGACGGUAAAGGGGGCGGAAACGCCGGAACGGUUUGCACUCAGUGGUUUACAGCGUGGACUAGCCAGGUUUUUCUUUUCCGUCGUUUCCACAUGAUUUCGCACAUCAGCGUCAGGGUACAGGCCUUUAAGUCGCGUACGCCUCGAGUGUUCCUCCAGAUCUUUGCGCACUCCCGGGUAUACAAGGUAUUCCACUUGAUCCCUGCAUUCAAGUCUGCCAGUAGCCAAUGUCCCGACACGGGGAGACCGAAAAUUUAACAUCAAGACAAGAAACCGCGUACGCGCGGCCCCACUCAAAAAUACCGGACAACGCUUGCCACUAACGAAUUACCGCGGCUGGUAGCUAGAAGUUAACCCGGCUCUUUGAUGAGGGACCACAAGCGGUAUUCCCUACGCAUGUUUUUAUAACAAAGAGCUAACAUCACGAAACGAUCUCUCAUAAAGACGCGGGGARCRGGAUGGGGGCCUUCCUGCGACCCCUUUCUUUAGUUUAAGCACCUUGAUGGGUGUUGAUUGGGCUGGGUGGCCUAAAUAACCUCGUUGAUGAGGCGAUCCCUGGCCUAAGAUGACGGGCGGAAAUCCCCCCCCGAGAGGGGGGUCGUCCACCCCGGGGUCUCAGAGGGAGGCCCAGAGUGCUGAUGUGGAACAGCGGAGGGGAAAUUUACACCAAGGUGGCGAGCGUGAUGAAGGGGCUCCGCAAGAUUUAUAACGGCUUACGGGUGGAAGACCUCUUUAAGCACGGAAGCAUUGUGGGUGGCGGUACCUGGCAAAGAAACACCCCUCAAUUCCAUCCCCCCCACCACGGUAUUAUGCAGGGGGCGCUCGUAUCAUCAAUUAUUGGGGGUAAAGAGCUCGUAGUCGGUUUUUUUCGUCUUUUAUGUAACUUUGCAACUUAAUUUCAGGAGUGCCGCCGAUACAGGCAGACUUCAGUAGCACAGGGGAGACGGGAAUUCCCGGUGGGGCGGUGGGAAAAGCAGAAAUCAGGAGGAACACCCCAGGGGAGGAGGCGUCUUUGUGUACUAACUCUGUUGAGCGGGAAAAAGCCUGGGCGAACAGGAUUAGAUACCCCCUAGUCCACGCCCUUACGCUAGAGGGAAAAAGGGAUUCCUUUUCACCCCUCAUUGCUGCAGCUAACGCAUUAAGUACUCCUCC